RNAcentral lists this ribosomal RNA (413 nucleotides) under uncultured microorganism. RNAcentral's name for it is "bacterial SSU rRNA". It matches the Rfam family "Archaeal small subunit ribosomal RNA", at positions 330 to 745 of the family's 1478-position model. The record is from RNAcentral.
GCGCAGCAGUCGAGAAACCUUCGCAAUGCGGGAAACCGCGACGAGGGGACUCCCAGUGCCUACGCUCAGCGUCGGCUGUUCCCGAGCCUAGAAAGCUCGGGGAGUAAGGGCUGGGUAAGACGGGUGCCAGCCGCCGCGGUAAUACCCGCAGCCCGAGUGGUGGCCACUAUUAUUGGGCCUAAAGCGUCCGUAGCCGGCCCGGUAAAUGCCUGGGUAAAUCGUGAGGCCUAACCUCACGAAUUCCGGGUAGACUGCCGGGCUAGGGACCGGAGGAGGGAGAGGGUACUCCAGGGGUAGGGGUGAAAUCCUGUAAUCCCUGGAGGACCACCGGUGGCGAAGGCGCUCUCCUAGGACGGGUCCGACGGUGAGGGACGAAAGCCAGGGGAGCGAACCGGAUUAGAUACCCGUGUAGU